AGAGUUUGAUCAUGGCUCAGAUUGAACGCUGGCGGCAGGCUUAACACAUGCAAGUCGAGCGGUAACAGGGGUAGCUUGCUACCCGCUGACGAGCGGCGGACGGGUGAGUAAUGCUUAGGAAUCUGCCUGGUAGUGGGGGAUAGCCCGGGGAAACCCGGAUUAAUACCGCAUACGUCCUACGGGAGAAAGCAGGGGAUCUUCGGACCUUGCGCUAUCGGAUGAGCCUAAGUCGGAUUAGCUAGUUGGUGGGGUAAAGGCCUACCAAGGCGACGAUCCGUAGCUGGUCUGAGAGGAUGAUCAGCCACAUCGGGACUGAGACACGGCCCGAACUCCUACGGGAGGCAGCAGUGGGGAAUAUUGGACAAUGGGGGAAACCCUGAUCCAGCCAUGCCGCGUGUGUGAAGAAGGCUUUCGGGUUGUAAAGCACUUUCAGUGAGGAGGAAGGCUCAAAGGCUAAUACCCUUUGGGAUUGACGUUACUCACAGAAGAAGCACCGGCUAACUCCGUGCCAGCAGCCGCGGUAAUACGGAGGGUGCAAGCGUUAAUCGGAAUUACUGGGCGUAAAGCGCGCGUAGGCGGUUUGAUAAGCGAGAUGUGAAAGCCCCGGGCUCAACCUGGGAACGGCAUUUCGAACUGUCAGGCUAGAGUAUGGUAGAGGGUAGUGGAAUUUCCUGUGUAGCGGUGAAAUGCGUAGAUAUAGGAAGGAACACCAGUGGCGAAGGCGGCUACCUGUACCAAUACUGACGCUGAGUGCGAAAGCGUGGGGAGCAAACAGAUUAGAUACCCUGGUAGUCCACGCCG
RNAcentral lists this ribosomal RNA (801 nucleotides) under uncultured Alteromonadales bacterium. RNAcentral describes it as "bacterial SSU rRNA". It matches the Rfam family "Bacterial small subunit ribosomal RNA", at positions 8 to 802 of the family's 1533-position model. Lineage: Bacteria; Pseudomonadati; Pseudomonadota; Gammaproteobacteria; Alteromonadales. The record is from RNAcentral.